UUUAUGGAGAGUUUGAUCCUGGCUCAGGAUGAACGCUGGCGGCGUGCCUAAUACAUGCAAGUCGAGCGAACGGACGAGAAGCUUGCUUCUCUGAUGUUAGCGGCGGACGGGUGAGUAACACGUGGAUAACCUACCUAUAAGACUGGGAUAACUUCGGGAAACCGGAGCUAAUACCGGAUAAUAUUUUGAACCGCAUGGUUCAAAAGUGAAAGACGGUCUUGCUGUCACUUAUAGAUGGAUCCGCGCUGCAUUAGCUAGUUGGUAAGGUAACGGCUUACCAAGGCAACGAUGCAUAGCCGACCUGAGAGGGUGAUCGGCCACACUGGAACUGAGACACGGUCCAGACUCCUACGGGAGGCAGCAGUAGGGAAUCUUCCGCAAUGGGCGAAAGCCUGACGGAGCAACGCCGCGUGAGUGAUGAAGGUCUUCGGAUCGUAAAACUCUGUUAUUAGGGAAGAACAUAUGUGUAAGUAACUGUGCACAUCUUGACGGUACCUAAUCAGAAAGCCACGGCUAACUACGUGCCAGCAGCCGCGGUAAUACGUAGGUGGCAAGCGUUAUCCGGAAUUAUUGGGCGUAAAGCGCGCGUAGGCGGUUUUUUAAGUCUGAUGUGAAAGCCCACGGCUCAACCGUGGAGGGUCAUUGGAAACUGGAAAACUUGAGUGCAGAAGAGGAAAGUGGAAUUCCAUGUGUAGCGGUGAAAUGCGCAGAGAUAUGGAGGAACACCAGUGGCGAAGGCGACUUUCUGGUCUGUAACUGACGCUGAUGUGCGAAAGCGUGGGGAUCAAACAGGAUUAGAUACCCUGGUAGUCCACGCCGUAAACGAUGAGUGCUAAGUGUUAGGGGUUUCCGCCCCUUAGUGCUGCAGCUAACGCAUUAAGCACUCCGCCUGGGGAGUACGACCGCAAGGUUGAAACUCAAAGGAAUUGACGGGGACCCGCACAAGCGGUGGAGCAUGUGGUUUAAUUCGAAGCAACGCGAAGAACCUUACCAAAUCUUGACAUCCUUUGACAACUCUAGAGAUAGAGCUUUCCCCUUCGGGGGACAAAGUGACAGGUGGUGCAUGGUUGUCGUCAGCUCGUGUCGUGAGAUGUUGGGUUAAGUCCCGCAACGAGCGCAACCCUUAAGCUUAGUUGCCAUCAUUAAGUUGGGCACUCUAAGUUGACUGCCGGUGACAAACCGGAGGAAGGUGGGGAUGACGUCAAAUCAUCAUGCCCCUUAUGAUUUGGGCUACACACGUGCUACAAUGGACAAUACAAAGGGCAGCGAAACCGUGAGGUCAAGCAAAUCCCAUAAAGUUGUUCUCAGUUCGGAUUGUAGUCUGCAACUCGACUACAUAAAGCUGGAAUCGCUAGUAAUCGUAGAUCAGCAUGCUACGGUGAAUACGUUCCCGGGUCUUGUACACACCGCCCGUCACACCACGAGAGUUUGUAACACCCGAAGCCGGUGGAGUAACCUUUUAGGAGCUAGCCGUCGAAGGUGGGACAAAUGAUUGGGGUGAAGUCGUAACAAGGUAGCCGUAUCGGAAGGUGCGGCUGGAUCACCUCCUUUCU
This 1553-nucleotide ribosomal RNA is filed under the name Staphylococcus aureus. RNAcentral describes it as "16S ribosomal RNA". It matches the Rfam family "Bacterial small subunit ribosomal RNA". The record is from RNAcentral. Lineage: Bacteria; Bacillati; Bacillota; Bacilli; Caryophanales; Staphylococcaceae.